This 253-nucleotide ribosomal RNA is filed under the name uncultured bacterium. RNAcentral describes it as "partial 16S ribosomal RNA". It matches the Rfam family "Bacterial small subunit ribosomal RNA", at positions 524 to 776 of the family's 1533-position model. The record is from RNAcentral.
UACGGAGGGUGCAAGCAUUAAUCGGAUUUACUGGGCGUAAAGGGCGCGUAGGCGGAGAAGAAAGUUGGAUGUGAAAUCCCGGGGCUCAACCUCGGAACGGCAUCCAAUACUCCUUCUCUAGAGGUUAAGAGGAGAAAAUGGAAUUCCACAAGUAGCGGUGAAAUGCGUAGAUAUGUGGAGGAACACCGGUGGCGAAAGCGAUUUUCUAGCUUAAUCCUGACGCUGAGGCGCGAAAGCUAGGGGAGCAAACAGG